UUGAAAAUACUGUAUAGAUCAGUUAUGGGUGCCUUUUAUCAGGGAAAAAUGAUCCAGGCAUCUUCACUCGAUGCUUUUAUUCAACUUCUAUCGCAAAAACCGAAAUGCCGUUUCAAAAAUAGAGAGGUAUUCGUUAAGAAACCCAAGUCGUUCAGGAGACGAGAAAUUCAGUUUAUUAUUUUCUACAAUUUAUUGCUAUUUAAAGUUGUUAUGUUUUAUGUAGGAGUCGAACAUUUUAGUGGCUAUUAUAUGCCGCUUCUUCUCUUUGCCACGAUGAAUGAUAGCUAAUCUUCUACUAAACAGGCGUCGGAUGGAUUGAAGAAGGCAGACAAGAGUGAGCCGUUGUCUAAUAUUGGCCGGAGAAGAUACACUCGAUACGAACGCAUUCGACCAAAUCGGACGGGUGGCGAAUUAAGAGCCGGGACCGAUGACUUAACUUGUCCAUCCGAAACACGGUAGUGUCCCGAGAGAAAUAUCUUGCUCGGACUGCGAUUCGAACCCGGGCCUCUGGAUUAUGAAGCCAGCUUAUAAUCCAAUCGACUAACUAAACUGAUUUUAAUCUA
Molecule: long non-coding RNA, 563 nt
Organism: Nilaparvata lugens (brown planthopper)
Lineage: Eukaryota; Metazoa; Arthropoda; Insecta; Hemiptera; Delphacidae
Exons: 3
Source: RefSeq, a predicted model, not a curated record